This 475-nucleotide ribosomal RNA is filed under the name uncultured bacterium. Its description in RNAcentral is "partial 16S ribosomal RNA". It matches the Rfam family "Bacterial small subunit ribosomal RNA", at positions 36 to 538 of the family's 1533-position model. The record is from RNAcentral.
AGCGAACGCUGGCGGCAGGCCUAACACAUGCCAGUCGAACGAACCUUUCGGGGUUAGUGGCGGACGGGUGAGUAACACGUGGGAACGUGCCUUUAGGUUCGGAAUAACUCAGGGAAACUUGUGCUAAUACCGAAUGUGCCCUUCGGGGGAAAGAUUUAUCGCCUUUAGAGCGGCCCGCGUCUGAUUAGCUAGUUGGUUGAGGUAAUGGCUCACCAAGGCGACGAUCAGUAGCUGGUCUGAGAGGAUGAUCAGCCACAUUGGGACUGAGACACGGCCCAAACACGUGGGGGGGGAAGGGGGGGGGAAGAGGGAGGAAGGGGCGACAACCUGACGGGGCACGGCGGGAAGAAUGAAGAAGGUCUGAGUAAUGUAACAUUCUUGCGCGGGGGACAAUAAGGACGGAAGCGGGAGAAGAAGCCCAGGCUAACUGCGGGCCAGCAGGGGCGGUAAGAGGCGGAAGAGAACACGACUGACC